RNAcentral lists this long non-coding RNA (6201 nucleotides) under Taeniopygia guttata (zebra finch). RNAcentral describes it as "lncRNA (ENSTGUG00000025860.1)". The record is from RNAcentral. Lineage: Eukaryota; Metazoa; Chordata; Aves; Passeriformes; Estrildidae.
GGAACAGAGCAGUAGCAGAUGUAACUGGGCAUGUUCAAAGCUAGAAAAGACCCAGAAAAACAGUUUCACCAAAACUCCAAACACACCCUGCUACAAAGACAGCAAAUUACCAUCGCUGAACCAACACUUUUAUAUUGUUAAAACAAGCUGCUGAAAUGAUCCUCUAGCCAGGAAUGCUGGAUGAGCAGCUGCCUGUGGAUUGGUGCCAGCACUGCACUGGAAACUGGAAAGGAGCAUAGGCUGGCUUUGCCCCUGUGUCUCCUUCCAGACAGAUAAAAACCCUGAGUUCCUCACUGGAGAUGCUGAUCUGGGAUCCCAAGCUUUGCUCCCAUCACCCUGAGGGACAUCCCAGCAUUUUCCGGGGCUGAGGAUGCCAAACUGAACUUCCUGUUUCUCUGGCUGGGUAUGGAGAACGCCAGCCUGAGAUCUGCGAGGCAUCAAUUAUAAUCCUGACUGCAUUUCCCAAAAUAAAUGUUUUGUGCAUUUUUGUAGCAGAUCAUCCAAUAAUAGCACACAGCUCCAGCAACUAAUGGAACACAAGUCUGCUUCCAAUGUGUCAGAUAAUAAUUGUGCUGUAACAUCGCAGUGCAUACAUGAAUAAAUACAAUUCCAAAUUCAAUGAGAUAUUUUCCUUCUGCUGCUCCUCCUGCCACAAAUGAAUACACCAGCAAUUAAUUACUGUGCUCAGCAACUCCCUGCAGCAAUUGUGUAAUAGAAUCAUUUUCAGUCCCUUGUCUCGUAACCUUUGAGAUAAGUUUCAUGGGUCUGGAAUGGCAAGCAUAAAAAUAUAUGGGUUUGUUCACUUAGUGUUUGUAAAUGUUACAGCUCUCAGAUACCAGCCAUAACUUUCUCAAAGUCCUACUCCACUGGUUAUAAAUCCUGGAGUACAUUUGAAUAUUAGAAUCAUCUGAGCUCACAACUGAAAAUAAGGAAUCUUCCUCAAUCAGAAUCAUUUGCAUGUUACUUUUUAUGGUAAAACUUAUAUAUAUUUAUAUUACUAAUAUUUGAAAAAUUGAUAUUGGUUCCUACUAGCUGUCAACCAUUUAAGUGGUUAAGACUACACUAGUGUAUUCCAACCUCAUAAAGUCACUGGAAGUGCUACCACUGAUUUCAGUGCAGCCAGGAACGUCACUAUUGUCUAUCACUGAAAAAAAUAAAGAAUUUAAACUAAUAUCCUGUCAUCACACCUCUACUCUUUUAAGCAAUUAUUUUUAGGAUGCACAACUGAAAGUUGCUGAGUUCUUCAGCCAUUGUGAAAGGACUUGCACACCGAGAAAACCACAAAGCUAUUUCCUGACCCUAUUUUGCGAGCGUUUAAAGUCCAGUGAGGUCACGUGCCUGGAGCUGACAACGCAGCACAGGAUGAACACUGAGCAGACACUCUCUGGGUGAUGAAAUGCAAUGUAAUCUUGCAAGUGUCUUGAUGACAGUAUUAUCUAUGUUGCACAGAUGGCUCAGAAAAAGCCAACUUUCUCUGGUUCUCCUGGGCAAAAGUGAGUCCAAGAGGGGAAACAUAAGAAUUGGGAAAAAUAGGUAGGGGGAGCAAUUUUUGGAGAAAUCCAAGCUUUCUGAAUCUGAAAUUAGACCACAGAUCCUUGGGGAAAUGACUUUCCAGGCUGAAUGAGCAGCAAGAGCAGAACUGAUAAAGCUGAAAAAUAAACCUCCUGAAUCUUGCAGACCAGCUCUCAGCCAGGAAUAGUGCCACAUAUGCAACAUACCAAGGAAAAUUAAUAACAAAAAAAAGAAAUCUGAGCUUUCCAACUGGAAACACAACAUGGCCCUGUGCUUAGAGAGAUGGACUGGGACUCAAUUCUUUUUCUGCUACUAUUGGGCUGUACAACCAGAGCUGUCUUCAAUGUCAUCCUUCAAGAAAGCAAUCUCUCUCUGGGAUGUGUAGUGGCCAGAAAAUGAAGGCUUUGCAAACAAACUAUUAAAAAAUAAUUAAUUCCAAAAGUUCCAAGGUGCCCCUUAGGCCAAGACAUCAAGAAUAACAUUACCAGGAGUUAGAACUAGUCAUAAAACAUUUUUAAGACUCAAAUGCUAAUAAAAAAUAGAGUAAAAUUAUGAAAUUAUAGUAAUUUAUGAAAAUAAAAUUAGCAAAUAUGUUUCCUAAGUUCUGUCUAGCUUUCCUCCUCACAUCUCUGCUCAAUGAAUAUUCAUGCAGCACUGAUUAAUUUAUUAAAGCUGAGCUCAAGACUGUACAGGACACACACUGAAGUCUGGUGCUCCUUUUUUAAGGAAGUCUUUUUUUGGGUUAUUUCAAACUGUUAGGUAUCCCAAAAAAUGAGAGAAAAAAUGAACUGGGGUUAGAUCCAACCAUAUCCUUAAACUGCAUGCCCAGUGACUGGAGAUACUUCUGGACCUGGGAUUUGCUUCUGCAAGCUGAGGGAUGGACAGAGUCCCUCCACCCCACUGGGCAGAUCUCCUGAUCCACCGUGCAAUGCCAUCUCUAGCUGGCAUCUCACAAUUCCACUGUGGGAUUUCUCCCACGGUCUUCAUCUCUGUAGGUGCCUGCAGUGGCUGAUAUCUACCUUUGAGGCAAUGGGAUUAUCAGUCUUGACUCCACAUUUUCUAGGGCUUAGGCGUACUGGGCAAAUUCUGCUGACAAGAGCCAUCCCACACACACCAGUGACUUGGCAGAGCAGGGCUGACCAGCAGCACAUGCUACUGAGUGUGCUGGAGUCUGCAGAACACCCACCAUGGAAGGUGCAGGCCUUUAUCUCUGCAGUUAUUCACUGAUCUUCAUUUAUAUCCUUCCCAGAGAGGCCUUAUCACCUACUCUCAAUGCACAGGGCUCCCCAGUGCAGCCAGUCCCCAGAGCAGCUCAGAUAAAGUCCUGGUUAUUGUUUAUCUUCAGCUCUUCUGCAAACCACCAGACUGCAGCAGACUGGGCUAUGCUGCCAAUCCAAAAUACAGAGAGGUUCAAAACUUGUUUCCAGCUGUCAUCUGUCUAAUCAAAUAAUCUCUCCACUUAAAAAAAACUGGUAUAUAACUGCUGCUCUCCUCUUUGUACCUAUAUCCUCAACCUCACAUUUUUAUUGUAGAGAUUCAGUCAAUGGAGUCAGGCAGAUUAAAAAAAAAUAAAAGGAAGAAAAAAGAAAGAAGUUUUUUGCACAUCACAUCAAAAAGCAAUCGUUCAGCAACACAUGGUUUGUGAAAGAUUUCCUUCAAUAUUAGUGCAUUGCUAACCACUUUUCCAUGCUGCCUGAGCCCCUGGAAACAAAUGAAACCUGAGAAAACACUUGGGAUAUGACCUCAUUUUCUAUUAUAUUUUCUUAAUAGGAUGACAGGUGAGUCAGAGUUGAGACUUCAUGUGUGCAGGAAGUCUAUGGAUCCAACUUUACUCAUCUACAAAUAACAAUAAGACAGAGUACCAGGCAGGAAAUAACUGUAGGGUUGAUUAUCAAGAGAUCCCAUAUUUCUGUACACCUCCAUGCAACCUUAAUUCCUUCAUUUCAGUCUCUUUGUCCAUAUAGAUGGUAAGAGAUCACAGAAAUAUUGUAGGGAUUAAUUAUUUAAAGUCCUUACUUUUGCCUUCGAAAAUGUAAAGCUCUCCAUGCCCACCAGUUUAGGAGGGUGCCCAAAAGGAUUUACAAAAGUACUUAAGCAGGUUAAAUGCCUACAUCCCACUGACUAUCAAAGACUUUCCAUAAACCUUACACUAUAAAUGGAGUGGCAAUAAAGGAGAAUGCUGUCUCCUCAUCUCUGUACUAGCCAGGAGCUGGAACAGUUAUGUUCUAAUGACUACAGCUUAGUCACAGGCAGCCUCUUUGCCCCUGGCUGACACACUGAUCAGAACUUAGGUACCUGUCUGGUUCAAUGUCUUCCAGACCCCAAACCAAUUCCUAAAAUCAACAGGAAGUUCAAACCCUUCAUGUACUGCUGUGCAGGCUGUGUUUGUUACCUGAGUGAGAGCAACUCCUGAACCCAGUGCUGGACACCCACAAAAUGGACAUAUACAGUGACAAUAAUGUGGUGCAGAGGGACGACACACCACAUGCUCUGCUGGAGCUGCCACUCAUUUGAAUCUUCUUGGAUUACUCUGUUCCUCUGAAAUAACUGGCAUGUACAGAUGCCAACGUGCAGGACUCCUCCCAGAGCAGAGCCAGCAAUUAAUUAACUGACCACAGAGGUUUCCUGGCUGCAUGAAGCUGCUGUUGCAACGGGUUGCAUUUCUUCUAUUAGAUUCUAAUUAAAACAUUGUUUCUGAGCUGCUUUCACCAUCAGCUCAGAGACCUUGUAAGGAGGGUUCAGAGACAACAAAACCAGGCAAGUUGUUCCAGUCAGUACUGCUGAUCAGCCCAGUGACCCAGCCUAAAAUGACCAAAGGUGUUUGUGAAGACUGAACAGACCCAGCUACAACCAAAUGCUUUAAGUACAAAUACAGGUGAAGGUCAGCUGCCCAUAGUUAUCCACUCUUUCUUGGGUAGGUUUUGCAGUUCUGCAUUGAAGUGUCCAUAAUGUGGCCAUUUUGGGCCACCUGCACCCAAGUGACCUGGUGCCACGUGUCUAACAUAAGCCUUACCCCGGAUGGAACAGAAGAUGGACCCUACCAGCAGUUAGGAGUUAGAAACCUGGUUUUGUCAUCAGAGAUGCAAAGUGAAGGAUAAAAAGAAGAGGCUUAAAUUACUUUGAAAUGAACUAGAGAAAUUGGCUAGUGCAGAAUGCAGCAACUGCUUUGCUCUCUGGUAGGCUCUGCAUCUUAUGAGGAGAAGAAAAUGGUAGAGCUCAGGGUUUUUUCCCUUGAAAAUUGCAUGCAUCCAGGUGGAACUUGAAUUUUACAAGUCUUCAAGCCCAAACUGUCGUAGGAGCUGUCUGUUUAAAAGAACACAUUUCGGUCAGCACUGCAAUCAAGGGAGCCACAUAUGCUGGAUCCUAUUCAACUUAAUAGAUAGAAAUUUGGCAGUCGAGUGUUCUCCAUAUGGGGAUUUCAGCUGAAGAAAAGCUUGUGCCUUUGCUAUAAAAUAUACUGGGGAGUGUUCCUUUCCAGAGGAAGCUGCCUCUUCAUCUAGAUGGUUGAGGAGAACUGGAUUCAAAAGCUGGCUGGCUCUGCACAUGAAAUUAAGAACAAGUUUAAAAAAAAGAAAAAACCACCCUAAAUGCUGGCUUUCAAAGGGUGUUUGGGAUGUUCCCCUGAAAUUCUGAGCAGUUAUUACCCAUUUUUUCUUGACUGCAUUUUUAGUUUAGGUUUUAUCAUGAGCAUCCAGGGAAAUAGAUUGUCACAUCCAUCAAAAAUAACUGGUAAUGAAUAAAUGUGUCUUUCCAGUCAAUGAAGGAACUGUGAGGAUUCAGAGUAUUGUUGGAAGGUUCAACAAUCUAACAAAAACCCAACAAGUUAUUUCACAAAAAAAAAUUAUACUGAGAUAAAUGCACAAUACAUUUUAUCACUAUGGUGCAGGUAUAAUGCCUCCAUCGUACACCCUUCUGACCAAACUUUCUUUCCCAUCAAAACCAAGAAGUUUAGCCUGAAAAAAUUUCUGUAGGCAAAGCCUAAUAUUUCCAUAGUUGCCAAAGGGAGAGCAAAGAACAAUUGUAAGGACAGGAAACAAACUACACAAUGAGAUUGCUGGGAAUAAUUCCAAUAGCAUGAAAUUAAUGUAAAUCACAAAUAGCUCCUGUGAAGCUAAAGUAAGGAUCUGUGAGAAACCAGAUCCAAGUCCAAUAAGUUAAGUAUGAAUCAGUGAGAAAAGAAAAACAAAAGCAUCACCACAACAGAGAGAUUUAAUAAUGUAGUAAAUUAAUAUUAACACUGAAUGAUCACUAAAGGAAUAAAUACUUCCCUAAUAUUCAAGUCAUAUGGUAGUAGUUUCUUGCAGGAAUGGUAUAAAUCAUAAUGAUUAUCUUGUCUCAGCAAAUCCUAUGGAAGCUACACAAUCCAAAUGGAUCCCACUACAGCUUUCAGAAGAUGCCUCUUUCUGAGCUGGCUUACCUGGAAUAAUGGAUGGUAUCCUGAUGCUUAUCAGCCAAAACAGAUACAUAGAAACCUGCCUGGACUCUCUUAACUCUCCUGCUCCAUCACUCUAAAUGUGUGCAAGUCUCUUUUCUUAAAUGGUUGUUUUGUGGCAGCUUCUCAAGGAAGAAUAGCCAGGGGCACAGCGUGGCUUGCACAGAGCAACCAAUUGCAAUUAUUUCUCUGCUUUUACAUAAUUGAUAUUAUUAAUGUUUUUCAGCUCAAAAUUAAUAAAGACCACGUGCAACUCA